Molecule: ribosomal RNA, 645 nt
Filed under: Scaptia jacksoniensis
Lineage: Eukaryota; Metazoa; Arthropoda; Insecta; Diptera; Tabanidae
Description: eukaryotic LSU rRNA
Rfam family: Eukaryotic large subunit ribosomal RNA
Source: RNAcentral
AUUGGAUUAACGAGAUCCCUACUGUCCCUAUCUACUAUCUAGCGAAACCACAGCCAAGGGAACGGGCUUGGAAUAAUUAGCGGGGAAAGAAGACCCUGUUGAGCUUGACUCUAGUCUGGCAGUGUAAGGAGACAUAAGAGGUGUAGCAUAAGUGGGAGAUAUAUUGGUUUCGGCUAAAUAUAUCAAAAAUGAAAUACCACUACUCUUAUUGUUUCCUUACUUACUUGAUAAAAUGGAACGUGUAUCAUUCACUUAGCCAUUACAUGAAUAUAUUUAUAUAUUUUAUGGUAUUUUGUUUUGAUGCGAGCUUCUUGUUUAAAGUACCAAGAGUUUGUUAUAUACACCAAACAAAUAUCAAUUAAAUUUACUUAUUAUUAAUAAUGAUUUGUUAAAUUAUAAUUGAAUUUGGUAUAACUAUUAUACUUAGGUAUGAUCCAAUUCAAGGACAUUGCCAGGUGGGGAGUUUGACUGGGGCGGUACAUCUCUCAAAUAAUAACGGAGGUGUCCCAAGGCCAGCUCAGUGCGGACAGAAACCACACAUAGAGCAAAAGGGCAAAUGCUGACUUGAUCUCGGUGUUCAGUACAUACAGAGACAGCAAAAGCUCGGCCUAUCGAUCCUUUUGGUUUAAAGAGUUUUUAACAAGA